GCCUGCAUGAAGUUGGAAUUGCUAGUAAUCGCGGAUCAGCAUGCCGCGGUGAAUACGUUCCCGGGGAUUGUACACACCGCCCGUCACACCAUGAGAGUCGGGAACACCCAAAGUCCGUAGUCUAACCGCAAGGAGGACGCGGCCUAAGGUGGGUUCGAUAAUUGGGGUGAAGUCGUAACAAGGUACC
Molecule: ribosomal RNA, 187 nt
Filed under: uncultured bacterium
Lineage: Bacteria
Description: partial 16S ribosomal RNA
Rfam family: Bacterial small subunit ribosomal RNA
Source: RNAcentral